AAGUCGUAACAAGGUUUCCGUAGGUGAACCUGCGGAAGGAUCAUUAACACGUAUCCAAACGUUAAACCCCCUGUGAACCUUCAGUGUACUCGUACGUCCGUUAGAAAAAGCAGCAAUCCCUGGUAAAUCAUCGCCGAACAGUUUUCGAUUCAGGGACGUCUGCAAGGAGCGUGCAUGUUGUGCCAAGCAGUGUGUAAGGAUGACGCAGUCACGAUCGUUGGAGGCCCACACGGCCGACGACCGGGUCACUGGGCGCAAGCCCCCCUAUAACAAACGCUGCCAAUCGCGGCCGCGAUAAUACGCAGUCGACAAAAAACCGAACAACUGUUAACAAUGGAUAUCUUGGUUCUC
This 351-nucleotide unclassified non-coding RNA is filed under the name fungal sp. RNAcentral describes it as "partial internal transcribed spacer region". The stretch from base 1 to 46 matches the Rfam family "Eukaryotic small subunit ribosomal RNA", at positions 1786 to 1831 of the family's 1831-position model. Lineage: Eukaryota; Fungi. The record is from RNAcentral.